GCGCGUUUUCCAAAAUGUCCUCCAAGACCGUGAUUCAGAUGGGAAAUACAAUUUAAGGUUCUUCUUCCAUGUGAUGACAUCAUGUCUGCAAUGAGACCUCAAAGAAAGAAUUUCAAGAACUUUAGGCGAUAAGUGGGACAGAUCUGUUUCUAAAACAGGAUGAAGAAAAAGGUUUGAUGAAACUACAGAAGAUGGCAGUUUUGGAAGGCUUGUAAAUGACUCCACACACCCCAAUUGCAAAGUGCAGUGCUUUGAGGAGGAGGGUCUACCAAGCUUGUAUGUUGUUGCCCUCCGUGACAUUCUGCCACUGGACAGACGCUACAGGUGACUGUGCCAGUGUCAUCUCUCGUGCACAGAAGAAGUUGUGUAUAAUU
Long non-coding RNA from Dreissena polymorpha, 374 nucleotides. RefSeq lists it as uncharacterized. The transcript has 3 exons. The record is from RefSeq and is a predicted model, not a curated record. NCBI's taxonomy places the organism in Eukaryota, Metazoa, Mollusca, Bivalvia, Myida, Dreissenidae.